RNAcentral lists this non-coding RNA (23 nucleotides) under Arabidopsis thaliana (thale cress). The record is from RNAcentral. Lineage: Eukaryota; Viridiplantae; Streptophyta; Magnoliopsida; Brassicales; Brassicaceae.
GAGAUAGUCUAUAUGGAGCGUGA